UGAAAUUGAAGUACCAGUGAAGAUGCUGGUUACCCGCGCCAGGACGGAAAGACCCCAUGGAGCUUUACUCCAGUUUGAUACUGGGAUUCGGUACUGCAUGUACAGGAUAGGUGGGAGACGAAGAAGGAUGGACGCCAGUCUGUCCGGAGUCGCUGUUGGGAUACCACCCCUGUAGUACUGGGUUUCUAACCAGUUACCAUGAUCUGGUAAUGGGACAAUGUCAGGCGGGGAGUUUGACUGGGGCGGUCGCCUCCGAAAGGGUAUCGGAGGCGCUCAAAGGUUCCCUCAGAAUGGUUGGAAACCAUUCGAAGAGUGCAAAGGCAGAAGGGAGCUUGACUGCGACACCGACGGGUGGAGCAGGUACGAAAGUAGGACUUAGUGAUCCGGUGGUAUAAAGUGGGAUUGCCAUCGCUCAACGGAUAAAAGCUACCCUGGGUAACAGGCUUAUCACUCCCAAGAGUUCACAUCGACGGAGUGGUUUGGCACCUCGAUGUCGGCUCAUCGCAUCCUGGGGCUGUAGUAGGUCCCAAGGGUUGGGCUGUUCGCCCAUUAAAGCGGUACGCGAGCUGGGUUCAGAACGUCGUGAGACAGUUCGGUCC
RNAcentral lists this ribosomal RNA (599 nucleotides) under Streptococcus infantis. RNAcentral describes it as "partial 23S ribosomal RNA". It matches the Rfam family "Bacterial large subunit ribosomal RNA", at positions 2037 to 2637 of the family's 2925-position model. Lineage: Bacteria; Bacillati; Bacillota; Bacilli; Lactobacillales; Streptococcaceae. The record is from RNAcentral.